This is a non-coding RNA of Drosophila virilis, 1173 nucleotides long. The record is from RefSeq and is a predicted model, not a curated record. NCBI's taxonomy places the organism in Eukaryota, Metazoa, Arthropoda, Insecta, Diptera, Drosophilidae.
CUUUCCGUCGAUCCAAUCAAUCAGUCAAUGACUAUUGAGUCAGUCCGAACAAAUAUUUUUAUAUAUACAGAAUAGAAUUCUCAAACUUAAGUUCAUUUUAAUCAAAAUUUUACAGUUAUGUAAGCUGAUUACGUAUAGCUAAUUAGCAUAUGUAUGGAGCCAGCAACAAAAGUCGACGACUAAGUAUAUAAUUGAGGAGUAUCCAAGUCGGAAAAGAUCGGCAUGGCUAUAUUGACUUUAUGGGGUCGGAUAUGCCUCCUGUUACAAAAAAUGAAUAUACCCGUUAUGACACAUUUUCAAUGCGUACAGGAUAUACGAAAAAUAAUGUUAUAUAAUAAAAACAUAUUAUAUUAUUUAAUUUCGUCUAAUGAAAUCUUUUAUAAAUGUUUAUUUAACUAGGGAGCAUGAUGCCCAUAUGGCCAUAUCUAAUUCGAAUUAAGCCACGUCCAAUUACUGCAGUUUCUGGCAUUAUAAAAACUUUUUGCACAAGUUUUUCCGUGUUAGUUUAAAACACUUGCAGAAAUGAAAGUUAUAUUUGGAAUAUUACUACUUGCAAUUGUAACGAACAUUUUCACAGCCGAAGGGUACGAUAAUGUGGAAAGUCUUAGUUCACUAGAAGACAAUCAGAUUGCAGAUCUCCAACUCAAGGAUUCAUACGAGCAAGAUCUAUCUGACAGUAGCAAUGGUCGAAUACAGAACGAGGAUUCAUUACAAAAUAAGCAACGUGGAUUUUUAGGAAUUUUAAAAAAAAUUUGGAAAAGGAUUUUGAAUUUUUUUAGACCUAAGCCAAAGCCAUCUCGAAGACCCAGGCAAAGGCCAAGGCCAAAACCCAAGCCAAGGCCAAAGCCAAGGCCAAGGCCACGGCCGAAGCGAUCCACACCCAAACCGUAACGACCCAAGCCGACGUUAACAAACCCCAAAACUGACAAAACCAACAAAGAAACCCAGCCCGACGACAAAAAAAACCAAUGAAAGCAAAAAAGAAGAAAGCAAAAUAAUAAAGGAGUCGGAUACACAACUGAAGAAUCCACAAUAUUAUUUUAUGAAUCUACUGCGGCGAUGAAAAUUUUUAAAGUUUGACCGAACCUAACACUACUUCAAACCUGAAAAAUAUCAUAUUUGCCAUAAUAAAAAUUGUAUCCUGGCAACUACCUUUGUGUAGCGUGAAGAUGA